This is a non-coding RNA of Gasterosteus aculeatus aculeatus (three-spined stickleback), 4669 nucleotides long. Lineage: Eukaryota; Metazoa; Chordata; Actinopteri; Perciformes; Gasterosteidae. The record is from RefSeq and is a predicted model, not a curated record.
UAUUUUGAUAUUAAUUUCCAACUUUUCAAAAUUGAGAAUUAACUAUUUAUUGUAAAUUACCUCUCUGGGAAUCGCUGAUGUAGCUUAUUAGAAAUGUCUGAAUCAGUCUAGAAUGGUGGCAUACGGGCAUAGUUUUUAAUGUGUAUGGUAAGGAGAUUUCCCUCUCUGAUUAACUUUUCCCCAUGAAAUCCCCCAUGAAAGAGUUAUGGCUCACUCUAACAAUGUAUAUAAUACAUGUACCCGAAAAAUCGAGGUACAACUCGCAGGUUCACUGUCUGAUACCUUUUAUGCUGUUAGUGUAAAUGUAUUGUCUCAAGGGUCUUGCACCUUUUGCGGCCGUUCAGGCGUUGUAAGAAAGCUUAGUCAUUCUGCUCUAAACUGCAGUCGGAGUGUUUUUCUGCUUCAAUGCAAAUGUCAAAUUCCAUUUAACCAUUGUAGACACUACAAAAGCUGCUAAAUAUGCUCUUCAAUCACAAAUGUCUGAUCUGGCUCAAUAUAAUGGAACCGUGUGUUACAAGUGUUCAAAAGAUUCUCCUCAAUACGUGUGAAAUUAAUAAUCAGAUGUAUUAUGGCAGGAAGAAGCAUGAUCACAUGUGUAUGUGUGUCACAUACCAUGAGACUAUGGGAGAUUUAAUCUAAAACAUGCUGAGAUGUCAAAGGUUACAGCUCUAUUGAUACAUUUUCACAUCAUGAAUUUUAGUUACUAAGACAGAACAGUUGGUUUUAAAGUGAUAAAAAUAAUAUAUAGAAUAUGCACAGCAUACUUAUAUAAGUUCAUACACAGUAUCAAACCAUUUUAUGCAGGUGAGUAUGAUCAAGUAGUGUAUAAGCUUACACAUUUAAUCUCCCCAUGUGAUGAUUCCACGUAAGUUUGGUAACUGGUACUUUUCUUUUCAAUCUCAAUCAUAUCAUCUUUAUGUCUCAGCCUGAUUUAAAAUAAGCAAAAAUAAGCGUUGAAUUUAAACCAGCUAAGAAUAAAUGUAUAAAGUCAAUAGGGAGAGGAGCGCUGGGUAUUCAAUGCUAGAGAGGGCGGGGUUUGAGACGUCUUGACGGCGCUGAUUGGUUGAAAACAACUAACUUUUAAAUUUGAUCAAGGCUAUUAAGUACAGGUGUUCAAUCAUCUCUGCCGUUCAAUCAAGUCCGUUACUUUAUCGGCAGCUGUCACGGGGUCUCAAGUCACCGGCAUCCCAAAAAGGUGAGUCCGCACGUUACUGUUGCCUCAGCUUUAUGCAGCAAAGCGUGAGCUCAGGGCUGGUGGUUAAUUGUUAAUUACAAACCUGCACAGGAAACAAGCUUUUUGUGACGGAUACCGUCGCAAAGCAUCUUAAUGAAUAAUGUUAGCAGUGCGUUCUCAUUUUUAGCUCGAGCUAAAAUGGACACCAUCACCAUCAAAUGUUUCUGUCCGAAAGUUGUACUCUAAAUAAAUAAAUUAAUAAUAAUUCCGCAAAAACAGCGAGCGCCCCAAUACAACUUCGGCUUGUCGACAAUGAUGACCGGAUUUCAGCCAUGUCCAUUAAUAAUGGGGCUUCGUUGAGUGUUUUAACUUUAACUUUAUGCCAUCAGUGUGAAAUAACAACGGUCUUAUUUUGAAUGUAAUUCAGCGUAAAAUUCACGUUUAGAUAUCACCCCGGUCUACAGUUACUUUAGUAGAAUUCACGUAGGUGAAUAACGGUCUUAUUUGACCUGCUUCAGUGUAAAACUCACGUGUGUGUUAUUUCCACGGUCUUAUUCCACAGGUGGAAUUCACGUUUGGUCAAUAACAACGGUCUUAUUUUAACUGGGUAGUCAAGCGAUCUGCGUUACGAUCUCGGAUAAUUUGUUCCGAGUGAAAUCUUUACCGUAAGCAAUCCUGUCUUCUUGUAGUCCAGCGAUCUGUGUUACGAUCUCGGAGAAUUUGUUCCGAGUGAAAACCUAAUCGUACACAAUCCUGUCUACAACCGCAUGAAGUGAUGCUUUGGAAAUAUCCCAGAAUCAUGUACAAUACUUUAAAAUAAAAAAAUAAUUCCCCGAACUAUCACAACCACUUGAUCAGUCAUCUGUGUCCGUUAUGUUCAACCUUAAACGUACGUAUAAUUGGAAUUUCAACUUCUUACCCGAGUUUGUAGAAAUUAAUUCUUUUUCGCUGUAUACACGUGACGUCAAUCAGGACUCUUUGGUUUCCGCCGGUCCUUUCUCUCUUGUCUAAGGAGGUAUGAGGCAGGAUCAUCAGUUGGUGAUCCUGGAAAAGGCCUUUUCCCCGGACGGUCCCCUGGAGCCUUGACGGACGGUCAGCGUAUCCUGUUCGUGACGCCAAAUUGUUGUGGAAUAUUUCAAUAAAACUUGUUCUGGAGAAGAGAAUGAAUUCUUUCAAUGUUUAUCUAAUAAAAAACAGUCUUGGUGAAUGAUCAAAGUUUCAAAAAGUCCAUUUAUUGCUUGCAAGCAGGAGGCCAAAUACACCAGCACGUAUCACAGCGCUCUGUGGAGAUGCCGUCUCCGAGCAGUAAAAACGCUGAGUUUUUAUACACAUAGGAAGGCCAUUCUCAGUGGCAGGUAGGAGAAGUUGCAAACCAAGUCGAGAUAAGAACCAAGGUUAAGAUGAGGGUAACACACACUGCUCCUUUGUACGAGCGCCCGUGAGAGCAAGUUAAUUCCCUUUUUCAGACACAGCUGCAUAUGGAAACCUUAAAUCUUUUCUGCUUUUGCACAUCAGGGUCAAACAGACACUUGAGACACAGGUUUAGCACAAGCCAAUGUUAUAACAUUUUUACCAUUACAGAACGCGCUUGUAGAGCGCAUAUGAGCCGCUGCAGCGUAGUGGGGGGGCAGUGGCUUUAUGGCAUGAUAGGCAGGCCGUAACAAUCAGUCAGGGCAACCCUGAUCUCACCCUGGACUGCCCUAGGUCACAGGCCCACCUAAAAGGUCACAUUCUUGAGAGACUCUCACUAUGCACAAAUGCCCCCGACAAUCAUGUGAAUGGAAAUUGUAUUUUUCCCUUUUUUAAAGCUUAAGCUGAGCAUAAUGUCUGCAACAUCAUGCUUUUCAGCCCGAAAAUUUGACUUAUUUCAGUCAUCCAGUCCAUUCCUAUUGUGACUAUACUAUUCACAAUACAUUUAUAUGGUGGAGCGUUGAGCAAAAACUGUCUCAUUGUGUGGGUUUCCACCGGCAUUAUCGCAGCCAUUGGUGUUCGCUGCUAUGCAGACUUUGAUUCGACCAUCCCCAGGUCCGGGGGAGACUACUCCUACACCAAAGACAUCUUUGGAGGACUAGCUGGGUAAGAACCAAUGCUGUUUGUCUGAAGCUGCUGAGUCUGGGAUUUUAAAGGUGCAUCGUCUAGUACUUCUGGAGCUCUUUGGGCAGAAAAUCACAAACCGGCUUUGAUAAAUGUUUGCUGUACCUUUUCUUUUUUUUCUUACAGGUUUUUGCUCAAAUGAUUUGUAAACGCUGUGCAAGGUUUGUUGUAGCCGGCCUCUUUGUAGUUGAUGAGAACUUGCAGGAAGUCUGUUGCUCCAUCACAUCAACAACCUGCUGCUGGUGCUGUCAUUCAGGUUUCUGCGUCUGUGGGUCGUGGUGUUGGUUAUCUCCCCCACUAACUAGGCGGUGACUGCGCUCACCUUCUCAAGCUACAUCCUGCAGCCGCUCUUCCACCCUUUGCCUUCCCCCGGAAAGUGCCCUGCGCCUGCUGGCUGCUGCCUGCCUGUACACCGCCGCCGACUGCGGAGGUGUUCCGUGUCCCCGGGCCGCCCACUACUGCGGAGGUGUUCCGUGUCCCCGAGCCGGGCCGACCCCCGGUCCGGGCCAGUACCGGUCCGGGCGACUGCGGAGGGGUUCCUUCCCCCCGAGCCGCCGCCGACUGCGGAGGGGUUCCGUGCCCCCGAGCCCCCGCAGCCGACUGCGGAGGUGUUCCGUGUCCCCGAGCUGCCGCCGCCGACUGCGGAGGUGUUCAGUGUCCCCGGGCCGCCGACUACUGCGCAGUCUUUUAGUGAGUCUUCGCCAUGUGCAGGAAUGCUAACUCCCACUCCCCUCUAACCACGUUCAGUUGAUCUCCACCCUGCUGAUGUUGUGCACCAGUGACGUUUACACCCUCAAACUUUGUGGGUUUCAUCAACUUCCUCUUCUAUGGCAUCACUAUCGCCAGGCAGAUUCUGCUGUGCAUCAGAGAGCCUGACAUGCAUCGACCAUCAAGGUGAACCUGAUUUGGCCGACGAUCUACAUGCUGUUCUGGACCUUCCUCUUGGUCUUCUCCGCGUACUCCGAGCCUGUCGUCUCCUGUACUGGUGUGGCUGUCAUGUUGACUGGUGUCCCUGUAUAUUUCCUGGGAGUACUCGGAAAACAAGCCCAAGUGUUGUGAUAUUACCAUUGGUAAAAUUACUCAUUUGUCCCAAAAGCUGUGUUCGGUGGUCCAGCCGGAGGAGAGAUGGGAGCCCUGCGAGCCACAAAACAAAGACUGAGACCACAACAAUGAUAAUGAAGAAGACCGAUUGAAACAUGCAUAAUCAAACACUCACUAUGAUGCUCACUUUGGGCUUAAAGAAAAAAAAGUGGUACCUGGGGAAGUGAGAGAAAUGAAUAUACAUCUUCGUGUUAGUGUCAAAAUAUUUUAACAUGUAAGUUGUAUGUAUUGUUAAAGCUUGUUUAUACGCUUAAAAAAAUUAAAAUGAAAAUUACCUGAUUUUUUUUUUCUUUGGAUUUG